GUACUCCAGGCUGGUCUGACUGGUACGAUGAGCAAUAUCCUGAUGAAGAAAAUGGCGGAGAUGAGGAAUCUUACCAGAAGGUCAUAGCCUCAGGAAAAGUGGUUUGUCUGCCUGACUCACCAGUGCAAAACAUUGAAUGCAAAGCAGAGAGAUUCCCUAAUACCCCAUGGCAGGAAUUGGGCCAGACAAUCACUUGUGACAAGAAUGAAGGACUGAAAUGUGUAAGUGAGGAUCAAGGAGGACUGCCAUGUUACAACUACAAGGUCAGAUUCUGCUGCUCCAGAGCAAGUGGACCCCCUGAACCAACUCCAUCUUCACGAAGCCCAGAACCAACUAAAUCUAAGGACAAGACACCCGCACCUCCAACCUCCAGCAACAAGGAGCCAGAACCAUCACCCCCAAGUCCAGGCCCAGUGACACCCAAUCCCCCGGUUGAGGAAAAGCCAACAAAGCCAGCUCCAGAAGAGAGUGGCGCUCCUCCUCAAGAACCAACUGCACCGAAGGACAAGACACCCCCACCUCCAACCUCCGGCAUCAAGGAGCCAGAACCCUCACCCUCAGGAG
This is a long non-coding RNA of Lethenteron reissneri (Far Eastern brook lamprey), 564 nucleotides long. RefSeq lists it as uncharacterized. The record is from RefSeq and is a predicted model, not a curated record. NCBI's taxonomy places the organism in Eukaryota, Metazoa, Chordata, Hyperoartia, Petromyzontiformes, Petromyzontidae.